Molecule: ribosomal RNA, 389 nt
Filed under: Pyramimonadales sp.
Lineage: Eukaryota; Viridiplantae; Chlorophyta; Pyramimonadophyceae; Pyramimonadales
Description: partial small subunit ribosomal RNA
Rfam family: Eukaryotic small subunit ribosomal RNA
Source: RNAcentral
AUUCCAGCUCCAAUAGCGUAUAUUUAAGUUGUUGCAGUUAAAAAGCUCGUAGUUGGAUUUCGGGUGGGAACGACCGGUCCGCCGUUCUGGUGUGUACUGGUCGGUCCCAUCUUGCUGUCGGGGACGCGCUCCUGGCCUUAACUGGCUGGGACGUGGAGUCGGCGAUGUUACUUUGAAAAAAUUAGAGUGUUCAAAGCAGGCCUACGCUCUGAAUACAUUAGCAUGGAAUAACGCGAUAGGACUCUGGUCCUAUUGUGUUGGUCUUCGGGACCGGAGUAAUGAUUAAGAGGGACAGUUGGGGGCAUUCGUAUUUCAUUGUCAGAGGUGAAAUUCUUGGAUUUAUGAAAGACGAACUUCUGCGAAAGCAUUUGCCAAGGAUGUUUUCAUCA